Molecule: ribosomal RNA, 253 nt
Filed under: uncultured bacterium
Lineage: Bacteria
Description: partial 16S ribosomal RNA
Rfam family: Bacterial small subunit ribosomal RNA
Source: RNAcentral
UACGUAGGGUGCAAGCGUUAAUCGGAAUUACUGGGCGUAAAGCGUGCGCAGGCGGUGAUGUAAGACAGGUGUGAAAUCCCCGGGCUUAACCUGGGAACUGCAUUUGUGACUGCAUCGCUGGAGUGCGGCAGAGGGGGAUGGAAUUCCGCGUGUAGCAGUGAAAUGCGUAGAUAUCUGGAGGAACACCGGUGGCGAAGGCGGCAUCCUGGACCAACACUGACACUGAGGAGCGAAAGCCAGGGGAGCAAACGGG